This 80-nucleotide transfer RNA is filed under the name Nocardioides sp. RNAcentral's name for it is "tRNA-Thr". Lineage: Bacteria; Bacillati; Actinomycetota; Actinomycetes; Propionibacteriales; Nocardioidaceae. The record is from RNAcentral.
GGCAGGUCAGGGUUGGUGUGACCGACGCUCUGUAAGUUCGUCGGCUUUUACCUUCGAAGGUUCGAAUCCUUCAUCUGCCA